GAGUUUGAUCCUGGCUCAGGAUGAACGCUGGCGGCGUGCUUAACACAUGCAAGUCGAGCGAAAAUAAUUGAGAGCUUGCUUUUGAUUAUUUUAGCGGCGGACGGGUGAGUAACGUGUGGGUAACCUGCCUUUUACUGUGGAAUAAUCGUUGGAAACGACGACUAAUACCGCAUACGGUUCUUGGAAGGCAUCUUCUAAGAAAGAAAGGAUUUAUUCGGUAAAAGAUGGGCCCGCAUCUGAUUAGAUAGUUGGUGAGAUAAUAGCCCACCAAGGCAACGAUCAGUAGCCGACCUGAGAGGGUGACCGGCCACAUUGGGACUGAGACACGGCCCAAACUCUUACGGGAGGCAGCAGUGGGGAAUAUUGCACAAUGGGCGAAAGCCUGAUGCAGCAACGCCGCGUGAAGGAAGACGGUUUUCGGAAAUAAACUUCUAUCUAUAGGG
Molecule: ribosomal RNA, 443 nt
Filed under: uncultured bacterium
Lineage: Bacteria
Description: bacterial SSU rRNA
Rfam family: Bacterial small subunit ribosomal RNA
Source: RNAcentral